CAUUUAGGGAGAUGAGCCGUGCAGUCACGUCUAAGUCUUUUGUUUGACAAGUCAUUUCUGUCACAAUAAAUGGAGCGAUUGUGUCUCGUUAACAACCGUGUUUCACGUAUCUCUUUAACAGCCGUGUUUCAGCCGUGUUUCAAGUUCGCCUGCAUUAGAAGAGAUCAACGCUCGAGUUAAAGUUACUGCCAGUUCCGAGUCUUUCUGUGCCCAUGGGAAAUAAAAGCCUAGUACGGUGUGUAGGUGUCAUUAAAUCUUUGACAAGUGUACAGAUCAAUUACUUACGUGAAAGGAAGACGAAAAAGUCAACAAUGACUUGCUUGGAAACUGCCAAUGAUGUCAUGCUGGUAAUUGUGAAGUAGACUGCUUUACACAGAAAACUUUAUCUUCCCUUUG
Molecule: long non-coding RNA, 396 nt
Organism: Biomphalaria glabrata
Lineage: Eukaryota; Metazoa; Mollusca; Gastropoda; Planorbidae
Exons: 3
Source: RefSeq, a predicted model, not a curated record